GGAGUGGUGGAAAGCGCCCUGGGCUUGGAGUCUGAAGACCUCAUUUGGAAUUUUGACUCUGUUGGCUUCCUACCUCUAUGAUACUAGGGAUCCAAUGGAGAAAUUUUUGGUGGCCUAUGCAAUUGAAGGGAAACACUGGAGAAAUCUUUGUCCGUACCUCCAUUUAGAAUGCUCUAUGAGUCUUUAGGACUCCACUGGAGAAAUUUAUGUGUUGAAGGAAACUAUUAGCAGAAUUUUUACCCAGAACACAAACAGUUGGUUUUUCACGUGAAGGCAGGACUGAAGUCACCUGGGGAAGGGUUCUUGGAUUGGUUUAGUUAGCCCAGGCUGCUGCAAAUACAUCAUUUCCCCAAACCC
This is a long non-coding RNA of Trichosurus vulpecula (common brushtail), 357 nucleotides long. RefSeq lists it as uncharacterized. The record is from RefSeq and is a predicted model, not a curated record. The transcript is spliced from 3 exons. Lineage: Eukaryota; Metazoa; Chordata; Mammalia; Diprotodontia; Phalangeridae.